Molecule: ribosomal RNA, 465 nt
Filed under: Vreelandella stevensii
Lineage: Bacteria; Pseudomonadati; Pseudomonadota; Gammaproteobacteria; Oceanospirillales; Halomonadaceae
Description: partial 16S ribosomal RNA
Rfam family: Bacterial small subunit ribosomal RNA
Source: RNAcentral
CCUACGGGAGGCUGCAGUGGGGAAUAUUGGACAAUGGGCGAAAGCCUGAUCCAGCCAUGCCGCGUGUGUGAAGAAGGCCUUCGGGUUGUAAAGCACUUUCAGUGGGGAAGAAAGCCUUGGGGCUAAUACCCUCGAGGAAGGACAUCACCCACAGAAGAAGCACCGGCUAACUCCGUGCCAGCAGCCGCGGUAAUACGGAGGGUGCGAGCGUUAAUCGGAAUUACUGGGCGUAAAGCGCGCGUAGGCGGUCUGAUAAGCCGGUUGUGAAAGCCCCGGGCUCAACCUGGGAACGGCAUCCGGAACUGUCAGGCUAGAGUGCAGGAGAGGAAGGUAGAAUUCCCUGUGUAGCGGUGAAAUGCGUAGAGAUCGGGAGGAAUACCAGUGGCGAAGGCGACCUUCUGGACUGACACUGACGCUGAGGUGCGAAAGCGUGGGUAGCAAACAGGAUUAGAUACCCCUGUAGUC